UACGAAGGGGGCUAGCGUUGCUCGGAAUCACUGUGCGUAAAGCGCACGUAGGCGGAUUGCUAAGUCAGGGGUGAAAUCCUGGAGCUCAACUCCAGAACUGCCUUUGAUACUGGCGACCUUGAGUCCGGGAGAGGUGAGUGGAACUGCGAGUGUAGAGGUGAAAUUCGUAGAUAUUCGCAAGAACACCAGUGGCGAAGGCGGCUCACUGGCCCGGUACUGACGCUGAGGUGCGAAAGCGUGGGGAGCAAACAGG
This 253-nucleotide ribosomal RNA is filed under the name uncultured bacterium. Its description in RNAcentral is "partial 16S ribosomal RNA". It matches the Rfam family "Bacterial small subunit ribosomal RNA", at positions 524 to 776 of the family's 1533-position model. The record is from RNAcentral.